Molecule: transfer RNA, 73 nt
Filed under: Apaloderma vittatum (bar-tailed trogon)
Lineage: Eukaryota; Metazoa; Chordata; Aves; Trogoniformes; Trogonidae
Rfam family: tRNA
About the family: Transfer RNA (tRNA) molecules are approximately 80 nucleotides in length. Their secondary structure includes four short double-helical elements and three loops (D, anti-codon, and T loops). Further hydrogen bonds mediate the characteristic L-shaped molecular structure. tRNAs have two regions of fundamental functional importance: the anti-codon, which is responsible for specific mRNA codon recognition, and the 3' end, to which the tRNAs corresponding amino acid is attached (by aminoacyl-tRNA synthetases). tRNAs cope with the degeneracy of the genetic code in two manners: having more than one tRNA (with a specific anti-codon) for a particular amino acid; and 'wobble' base-pairing, i.e. permitting non-standard base-pairing at the 3rd anti-codon position.
Source: Rfam by way of RNAcentral
GGCCGGUUAGCUCAGUGGUUUGAGCACGGUGCUGGCAACACCGAGGUCGCGGGUUUGAUUCCCACUCCGUCCC